GCGCGGGGCUGCUGCUGCCUGCGCGGGGACGGCGCUGCCCCCGGCCCAUGAUGUGCCUGGAGAGCGGCGGCGGCGCUGGAGGAGGAGGCGGCGGCGGCAGCGGCGGGCGGCUCCGCGCCGGCGACGAGGAGGAGGAGGAGGACGGCGGCGGCGAGCGGGGCUGCUGCGGCCGGGGCGCCGAGGGCGAGGUGCAGACGCUGUCGGGCAGCAUGGCCCCCGCGGCCAAGAGCCCCGAGCGCCCGCCGCCGCCCGCGCCCGCCGCCCCCCGCUCCGGCGUGCUGGCCGCCGCCGUGCUCAGCGCCGGCAACGUGCUCAACUACCUGGACCGCUACACCGUGGCGGGUGUACUGCUAGACAUCCAGCAGCAUUUUGGAGUCAAAGACAGUGGAGCUGGCUUGCUACAAACAGUUUUUAUCUGUAGUUUCAUGGUGGCAGCCCCUAUAUUUGGUUACCUUGGUGACCGUUUCAACCGAAAGAUCAUCCUCAGCUGUGGGAUCUUCUUCUGGUCAGCUGUCACCUUUUCAAGCUCCUUCAUCACUGAGCAGUACUUCUGGCUCCUUGUCCUCUCACGAGGUUUGGUUGGCAUUGGUGAAGCCAGUUAUUCCACCAUCGCUCCCACCAUCAUAGGAGACCUUUUUACCAAAAACACCAGGACCCUCAUGCUGUCCGUCUUCUACUUUGCGAUCCCUCUGGGCAGUGGUUUAGGGUACAUCACUGGAUCAAGUGUGAAGCAGGUAGCAGGAGACUGGCACUGGGCAUUGCGGGUAUCUCCACUGCUGGGUAUGAUCACAGGGACGCUCAUCUUAAUAUUGGUACCUGCUGCUAAAAGAGGCAACGUUGAACAGCUGGGGGGACAGCUGAAGGCUAGGACCUCGUGGCUAAGAGAUAUGAAGGCAUUGUUCAGAAACCGCAGCUAUGUGUUCUCGUCACUGGCCACCUCAGCCGUCUCCUUCGCCACAGGGGCGCUGGGCAUGUGGAUCCCCCUCUACCUUCACAGAGCACAGGUGGUGCAGAAGACAGUGGAGACCUGCAGUUCCCAGCCCUGUAGCACCAAGGACAGUUUGAUCUUUGGAGCAAUCACAUGCUUCACAGGCUUUCUGGGUGUGAUCACAGGGGCUGGUGCAACCAAAUGGUGCCGCUUAAAAACACAACGAGCUGAUCCUCUCGUCUGUGCUGUGGGCAUGCUGGGUUCGGCCAUCUUCAUCUGUCUGAUCUUCGUCGCUGCUAAGAGCAGUAUUGUGGGAGCCUAUAUUUGCAUUUUUAUCGGUGAAACUCUUCUGUUUUCAAACUGGGCUAUCACAGCAGACAUACUGAUGUACGUGGUCAUUCCAACACGCCGUGCAACCGCAGUGGCCUUGCAGAGCUUCACCUCGCACCUUCUGGGAGACGCUGGCAGCCCCUACCUGAUCGGAUUUAUCUCCGACCUGAUCCGACAGAGCACGAAGGAGUCCCCGCUCUGGGAGUUCCUCAGCCUGGGCUAUGCCCUCAUGCUCUGCCCCUUUGUCAUCGUCCUGGGAGGCAUGUUCUUCCUGGCCACAGCCCUCUUCUUCCUAAGUGACCGAGCCAAAGCUGAACAACAUAAAGAAACUGAUUCGGACCACCUCACUGUUGGCAACUACAGUAACUCAGAAGACGCUUCCACAUGACACACACAGUUUUGGGGGUGAAUCAACUCAUGAUGCCACCAGCCUCUGUGAAAGUCUGAGAUGCUGAUACAAAGGACUCCGGCUUCCAUGCUGACGGCCCCAGCUGGGAACAACGCACCAGUACCAGACACAAGCAGGACCUCCGUGACGCAUCCAAAGUCCACUCCAACACCAAACCAAUCCCUUUGUUCUUACCUCCAGGGUCAAGCUAGAAGAGGUGACCAGGAGUGGCCUGGAUCCCAGUGCUUGUGCACACAAGGACACUGAUGGGUUUCCCCAGACUGCCAUACUUCGGAAGGGGCUGCCUGUAGGACGCACUCCUGCACUACACCCCAGCGAGCGACUGUAGAUUGUGUAUACGAUUUUAGAGUUAGCCAAUGAAGAAGUCCACAUUACCUACAGGGCAGCUGCUGCUCAAUGCUGCCUGCUAUGUCAGCGCGACCACCCCUUUGGCCAGAGACCGUGCAAUGGUGGGGACCUCUUCUGUACAUCAUGGCCUCUUGCUCGACACUAAAGGCUCAACCCAGAUUUUUAGUAUUAUUUAAACAUCCUCAGAUGCUUUAUCCCUGCUGAAGACGUCACAUAUCAGAUCUCUAUCUCUAUAGCUAGAUAAAUAGUUUUAUUUAAACUUUGGGCAUCUGAAGCGGCCAGUGCAAUGGCAGGACAUGGAAAGCUCCACUUCUGUGCGCAUCUUGGCACUGCAGCCUUGGUUCCAAAGAGGGCUCCAUGGUAGCACUCCCAAAAGGCGGCAGAGACAUUCACGCAACAGCACUUUGCUUAUGGGAGCAGCCCCGGGGCUGGCACAGGGCUGCAUCGCUGCUGGAAGGAGAAGUCUCUCACUGCACCAGGUGGGACUGUUAUGGCAAGGCCAGGAAAGUCCUGGCCAUUUAUAUGUAAUGGCUUUUUAUUUUGUUUAACCCGUUUUGUUUUACCUUGCACAGAAGGUUUACAGGCCUCUAAAAUACCAAAAUCCACAUGUGAAGGAACUGCUGUACCCAGAGCCUGGUACGGCAGUGCUGCUGCGCCAGUGAAGGUGUUGGGUCAUUUAUAUGCAUAUCAUACAACAUCGUUAGCUUAUUGCAGAUGCAAAUGAUUUGCUCCCAGUAUUUAUCCCUAUCCAGCAACUGCAUUUCUGCAAGGAUGGUAGUGUGCAUAAACACUGUCCUUGUUUACUCCCCCUGUUGCAGUACUUAAGGUCACUUUGAUCUGUACAGUGGUGUGGCUGGCAUGGUUUUAAUUCACUGGUGUGAUGGGCUAAAAACAGAGCUCUAGCUAGUCACAGGCUCAUUUGUAUUUGGACCUCUCCGACCCAUCUUUGGUUCUCAUGUGACAGACUGGCAUGUUUACAGUGAGCCGGCGGGCGUGUUGCAGCUGUGGCAGGAGGAGGUAAGUACAAAUGGUCCCAAUAAAGGAUGUGAGGUUGUCAGUGGCAACAGUUGUCCAACCACCUGGUUCAGGUCUCCUAAGUAGAUGCACUUUCCUUGAGUUUCCUUGCAUAUGCCCAGCACUUAAUUCUUUUGGAAACCAUACCUGAUUAGCAAAGGAAUUGCCAACCCUGUUAGUUGGAUAUGGCUUUAAUAAUGUUACAAGCUAGCAGUCUGGAGAACAUGGCUUAGGUUUGAGGAGUCAUUUUUAAUUGGCCAGUGUCCCCAAAGAGCACUGGUAUCUACAUAAAAAGCAGUCGGGGUCCACCCACACUUUCCACUUCCAAGCUCUGUAGAAACUUUGGCUUCCUUGCAGAAUACCCCUCCUGCACUCCCAGCAGGGAGUCAGCAGCAGUUUCCAGCAGCACUUCCAUAUUUUUCAAGAUCAGCAUCGAUAGAGGGCUCACGGUUUCCUCCCUCUGCAGUUCUACCGGACUCUUCCUGAAAGGCAGCCCCUUCCCAGAUUACUUCAGUUGGCGUUAAAAAUAUGUUGUAGGUCAGGCAAACAAUUGGAGAUAGGAAUCCAACCACUACUACUUGCUGGCCCCUAGGGAACUGCAAAUGCCACUCAAGUUCAGCUAUAAUAAUAAGCAAAGUCGAAACAAUGCUUUAUGCUACCGUGUGCCGUUAUUUACUCUGGUCGGGGGAAGUGUCAGCGCUGCGGUCUGGCAGCCACAUGCCUGGCUUUGGAAGGAUGGGAAUUUCUCACUCUCAUUAAGCCGUUCCCUGUUGCACCGUAAAAGAAAACAAUUAGCCACUUAAUCUCGGAGGCCAAAAGGAAGA
Molecule: RNA transcript, 3853 nt
Organism: Alligator mississippiensis (American alligator)
Lineage: Eukaryota; Metazoa; Chordata; Crocodylia; Alligatoridae
Gene: SPNS2
Gene name: SPNS lysolipid transporter 2, sphingosine-1-phosphate
Exons: 14
Source: RefSeq, a predicted model, not a curated record